UAGGGAAUAUUGCAAAAUGGGCGAAAGCCCGAUGCAGCAACGCCGCGUGGGCGAUGAAGGCCUUCGGGUCGUAAAGCCCUUUUUGAGGGGAUGAGGAAGGACAGUACCCUCAGAAUAAGCCUCGGCUAACUACGUGCCAGCAGCCGCGGUAAAACGUAGGAGGCGAGCGUUAUCCGGAUUUACUGGGCGUAAAGCGCGUGCAGGCGGAUUGGAGAGUUGGAGGUGAAAGCUCCCGGCUUAACUGGGAGAGGUCGUUCAAUACUUCCAGUCUUGAGUGCAGUAGAGNGAAGUGGAAUUCCGGGUGUAGUGGUGAAAUGCGUAGAUAUCCGGAGGAACACCAGUGGCGAAAGCGGCUUCCUGGACUGUAACUGACGCUCAGACGCGAAAGCUAGGGUAGCAAACG
This 403-nucleotide ribosomal RNA is filed under the name uncultured bacterium. RNAcentral describes it as "bacterial SSU rRNA". It matches the Rfam family "Bacterial small subunit ribosomal RNA", at positions 355 to 774 of the family's 1533-position model. The record is from RNAcentral.